Ciona savignyi (Pacific transparent sea squirt) is the source of this 82-nucleotide non-coding RNA. Lineage: Eukaryota; Metazoa; Chordata; Ascidiacea; Phlebobranchia; Cionidae. The record is from Rfam.
GUCGUCGUGGCCGAGUGGUUAAGGCGAUAGACUAGAAAUCUGUUGGGCUCUGCCCGCACAGGUUCGAAUCCUGUCGGCGACG